UUCUUCAGGGUCGGGUGCAAUUCCCUACCGGCGGUGAAGCUGCGUGAGCAGACAAGUCCGCGACCCGCAUUAUGCGGCUGAUUCCGGUAAGAAUCCGGAACCGACAGUAAAGUCUGGAUGAAAGAAGAA
RNAcentral lists this non-coding RNA (129 nucleotides) under uncultured Eisenbergiella sp. RNAcentral describes it as "FMN riboswitch (RFN element)". It matches the Rfam family "FMN riboswitch aptamer (RFN element)". Rfam says of the family: The RFN element is a highly conserved domain that is found frequently in the 5'-untranslated regions of prokaryotic mRNAs that encode for flavin mononucleotide (FMN) biosynthesis and transport proteins. This element is a metabolite-dependent riboswitch that directly binds FMN in the absence of proteins. Lineage: Bacteria; Bacillati; Bacillota; Clostridia; Lachnospirales; Lachnospiraceae. The record is from RNAcentral.